This is a non-coding RNA of Misgurnus anguillicaudatus (oriental weatherfish), 3339 nucleotides long. The record is from RefSeq and is a predicted model, not a curated record. NCBI's taxonomy places the organism in Eukaryota, Metazoa, Chordata, Actinopteri, Cypriniformes, Cobitidae.
UUAGAAAUAAUGCAAAACCACAUGUGUUAAACAUUUUAAGGCAGGUCAAAUUUGUUGUUGCUGUGGACGUGGUAACUUAUUUAAAGCACAACCUUUUUGGGAUAACACAAUAUAAUGGUUUUGCUGUCUCCAACGAGUAAAAUUAAAAAGACAACACACUGCAAAAACCCUAACCAUAAAUAACUAGAUAACAGAUGAACACCUCUUAGAAUUCUUUUAUUGUUUUUUUAUUUUAGCUGGGUAUUACGAGAAAUUCCCCUCUUACUGAACCAAUAUACAGUAUAAAGUUAUUGAGUCUAUGGAUAUAUUCAUAUGUACUGCAAUACCUUUUUAGAGGCUACCUUAAAUAUCCAUACAAAUCACAAACAGACAAACUACUAAGCAGAAUAAUUAAAUCGUUUUUUUUUUUUUUCAAUAAAUAUGCAUCAUGUUUCAUGAUUUGAAAACUAAAAAAAGUGUAGAGGACUUACAAGAUACAGACAGUUUACUUUAGGUAAAGGCAGUGUUGCUGUUUGACUUUAAAUACAAACUUUUUUUAACUUGACCAUUUUGAUAGUAAGCUCCCCACAUGAUGCUCGCACGCAUUCAAAGUGUCUGAACAAAGUCAGCAACGCUCAAGUUUGAUCUGUCCUGAAAUUACAUUGAUACACAGAACAAAGCAAAUGCAUUAUUUCAAGUUGCACUGUCUUUGCAUUUCGCUUUUGCUAAGCAGGAAACAAAGGACGUGAUAGCCGCUUUCAGCAUCACUUAAAUCAGUCAGCUGCAGAGAUUUGAAUGCUGUUCAUCUGGGCUUCUUCAACUUCAUGCGGCGCUCCAAGAACCGUCAGGCGGAUGACAUCAAAGCACCGCGAGAGCCAAAGGAGAAACCAUACAGAGGAGUCUGCUUAUCAAUCGAUCUCGCGUUACUUUAAUGUCAUCCGCCUGCGCUUCUUGCGGUGGCGGCACAGCAUUAAGUCGAACUCACCUUAAAACUUUAUCUAUUGCUAUCAGUAGUGGUUGUUGGAUUAGUGCACAUUGAUUUAGCAGUUAUGGAGGCCCCCCUCUAAGCUUGAGGCCCUAGGCAUUUGCCUACUCUGCCUAUAGCUAGCGCCGGCCCUGAGUGUGUUGCUAAUGUUGGGGCAUGUAAUAUGUAAUACAUGAACGUUUUAAUGAAUAGUCUAUCGAUUUAUAGUGGUUGUACCCAAUUGUUAUAAUAUGUCUUUUUGACUGAAUACAUGUUUGUUUUAUUUGUCUAUGUCCUAGAUUUGCAGCAGGACACACUCUUCUACACUGUAGGCAGCAGUAGACGUGAUGUAUAAUGCCAAACAUGCAACAUUAGUGGGCACACAGUACAAGGAGUCUGACUGGCAUAUGAGGAGCAAAGGAACCCAGGCAGUAGCGUCGUUUCACAAUGUUUCUAUCACCAUCAUCAGUGGAUGCCUUUGCCGUCCGUAGCCUGAGAUUUCAGAUUUGCAGCAAAAAAUUUGAUUUUCCAAUUUAUUGGAAUGCUGUGCAGGUUGUACCUUGCAGCCAUCCAUUACAAUGUCACCAAGCCAAAACAAAAGCAGGAGAGGGAAAGUACAAGGUUAAUUUCCCAAAAAACACAAGCGACAUACUUUAUGUGGAUGAUGUGAUCAGGCUUGUGUUUGAUGAGGUAUUUGAAGAUAAGCUGAAGGAAACCCCGAUUCCAAUGGACCUGGCAUCACAGUUCGAGAGACCUUCAAAGGAGGACGUGAUUGCAUGCCAUCUCACUCGCUUCAGUGUGGGGGUCGUCGGAAGCCAACAUACUGACCAGUCUGAUCAUGAAACUCCAAGCGUAUCUGGAGAACAGCACACGACAGGAUGAUAACAUCUUAAAUCCUAAUAAGUAAUAACAUAGCACUAAUAAGUAAGUAGUCUUUCAUAAUAAAGUUUACCAUAGUGAAAUAAUGUAGAACUAACAUUCAUUUCAACAAAUACUUUCUAUGUGCUACAUUUGGUGUUUCCAUAUAGUUUGCACAGUAAUAUUGUCAUGACUUCUGGGUGAUCGAUGGUUGUGUGUGGGAUAUGUGUUUGUUUAUUUACCUGUGGUGACGGUUCCUCAUGUGUUCACUAGCCCCGCCCGCUCGUUUCGGUAAUUGUUCACCGGUGGUGUUUUGUUUACAUUUCCCUUUAUAUUGCAUGCCGUCUUGUCUCUCGUUGCACGCUCAUUGUUUCGGUCACAGUCUGGCUGCCUUGCCUUGUCCUGUCGGACGUUUCUGUGCUUUCUCUCUUGUUUACCCCAGGUUUGGGUUUCGGCAUCCGGAGGCUCGUCUUCGUCCGGAGUUUACUCGCCUGUGGAUUUGUGAACUCUAUUCAGCCCUGACUGUUUCUCGGUGCAGCUGGUUCGCUUCGUUAUUAGGCGGUGCUUCCGGGUUUCAUCGGCAAUCACCUUCACCAGUGAAUGGAUCUCCAGGUUGUUGAACAUUGUGGAUUAUAUGAACUUGAACUCUGUUUGUUUCUCGGAACAGCUGGUUCGUUUCGUUAUUAGGCGGUACACCAGCUACUUCCGGGUUGCAUCGGAUACAUCUGCAUCCGCAGUGGAUUAUCUCCAGUCUUUGCCAAAUUUUGGAUUUAACAUCUUCCAUCUCCGCCUUUCACCCACCAUCAGUCGAGUGUGAUUCAUACCGUCUGUUGGGUGUGGUGAUUGCGCUGGUUGUCAUCGGCUGUGAGCGUGGGUGGCUCUCUCUUCGAGAUCAGAACUGGACUAUUUAUCUGCAGUACCGGCUCACUCUCUCCUACUGUUGUGUGUGCUUCAUACCGGCAGUAGUGAUUACAUCCAGAGUGAGUCGAGGGUGAUCGUCGUGUGUGGUUUCUUGAACAUUGACUUUUGCUCAACACUAUCUAUCCCAUUUUCUAAAUAAACAUUGUUAACUUGCUAUUGACUCCGAGACUUUGUGUGACAAAUAUAGUAUGUAAGCAGUCUUUUAUAAUAAAGUUUACCAAGGAUCUGUCUCUCUGUGAGCCUUCUCGUAAGCUGGCUCCGCAAUUCAUUGGGCCAUACAGUAUUUCUAAGGUCAUUAAUCCGGUGACGGUAAAGCUUAAGUUUCCCCUUUCUCUUGGUCGGGUUCACCUUGUUUUUCAUGUAUCCAAGGUUAAACCUGUGAUAUUUGCUCGUAAUAAUCCUCCCGUCUCUGCCCCUAAACCCCCCGCCCCUCGUCUAGUGGAUGGUGCCCCUGUCUAUACAGUUAAGAGGUUACUAGACUCUCACCGCAGGGGCAGAGGUUUUCAGUAUCUAGUGGAUUGGGAAGGAUACGGACGCAACACUCUCUCCUACUGUCGUGUGUGCUUCAUACCGGCAGUAAUUAUUACAUCCAGAGUGAGUCGAGGGUGAUCGUCGUG